GAUGAACGCUAGCGGAAGGCUUAAUACAUGCAAGUCGAGCGGUAGGUGGCUUCGGCCAUUGAGAGCGGCGCACGGGUGAGUAACGCGUACAUGACCUGCCUGUCAGAAGGGGAUAGCCCUGGGAAACUGGGAUUAAUACCCUAUGGUAUUGAUAUUAUGAAUGAUAUCAAUUAAAGUUGAGGCGCUGACAGAUGGAUGUGCGUCUGAUUAGCUAGUUGGUAGGGUAACGGCCUACCAAGGCGACGAUCAGUAGGGGGCGUGAGAGCGUGGUCCCCCACACGGGUACUGAGACACGGACCCGACUCCUACGGGAGGCAGCAGUAAGGAAUAUUGGUCAAUGCCCGCAAGGGUGAACCAGCCAUUCCGCGUGGAGGAUGAAGGCCCUAUGGGUUGUAAACUUCUUUUAGAUGGGAAGAAAUGCUAGAUGUAUCUGGUACUGACGGUACCAUCAGAAUAAGCACCGGCUAACUCCGUGCCAG
RNAcentral lists this ribosomal RNA (479 nucleotides) under uncultured bacterium. Its description in RNAcentral is "bacterial SSU rRNA". It matches the Rfam family "Bacterial small subunit ribosomal RNA", at positions 28 to 511 of the family's 1533-position model. The record is from RNAcentral.